AUUGAACGCUGGCGGCAGGCCUAACACAUGCAAGUCGAACGAGUGGCGGACGGGUGAGUAAUGUCUGGGAAACUGCCUGAUGGAGGGGGAUAACUACUGGAAACGGUAGCUAAUACCGCAUACCCUCAGAUGUUCCCCGAUGGGAUUAGCCAGUUGGCGGGGUAACGGCUAACCAAGGCGACGAUCCCUAGCUGGUCUGAGAGGAUGACCAGCCACACGGGAACUGAGACACGGUCCAUACUCCUACGGGAGGCAGCAGUGGGGAAUAUUGCACAAUGGGCGCAAGCCUGAUGCAGCCAUGCCGCGUGUAUGAAGAAGGCCUUCGGGUUGUAAAGUACUUUCAGCGAGGAGGCGUUACCCGCAGAAGAAGCACCGGCUAACUCCGUGCCAGCAGCCGCGGUAAUUC
This 406-nucleotide ribosomal RNA is filed under the name uncultured bacterium. RNAcentral describes it as "partial 16S ribosomal RNA". It matches the Rfam family "Bacterial small subunit ribosomal RNA", at positions 30 to 526 of the family's 1533-position model. The record is from RNAcentral.